AUACGGAGGGUGCAAGCGUUAAUCGGAAUUACUGGGCGUAAAGCGCUCGUAGGCGGCUUGUUAAGUCGGAUGUGAAAGCCCCGGGCUCAACCUGGGAACUGCAUUCGAUACUGGCAAGCUAGAGUAUAGUAGAGGCAAGUGGAAUUCCGGGUGUAGCGGUGAAAUGCGUAGAUAUCCGGAGGAACAUCAGUGGCGAAGGCGACUUGCUGGACUAAUUCUGACGCUGAGGAGCGAAAGCGUGGGGAGCAAACGGGAUUAGAAACCCCAGUAGUCC
RNAcentral lists this ribosomal RNA (274 nucleotides) under uncultured bacterium. RNAcentral describes it as "partial 16S ribosomal RNA". It matches the Rfam family "Bacterial small subunit ribosomal RNA", at positions 523 to 796 of the family's 1533-position model. The record is from RNAcentral.